GUCAAAGCUGUCCCCCUGGAAACAAGGUCUACCCGGAACUACUAGUCAGCGGCCGCCGCGCUGGAGUAGAUGCUGUGAAGCUGAACGGUGACUCUAUUCUGUGCAACAUGAAGUGACCAUUAUCGGUGAGUCCCCGGUUGCUACCAACUAUGGAUGUCCUAAUGCUAGUAUUGGUAUCGGGACCGAUACUGGACACGUGCAAAUGUCCCCAAUACCUAAUCCGAUAAUCGCCAGCGGGACCCCUGCCGGCAGGUAUCACUCUAUUCUGUGCAACAUGAAGUGACCAUUAUCGGUGAGUCCCCGGUUGCCACCAACUAUGGAUGUCCUAAUGCUAGUAUUGGUAUCGGGACCGAUACUGGACUCGUGCAAAUGUCCCCAAUACCUAAUCCGAUAAUCGCCGGUGGGACCCCUGCCGGCAGGUAUCAUGGAGGUGCCAAACUAUGCAGUGCGCAUGAUAGCCAGAACCUGUGGCUAAUGCGGAACAUCACCGUUCACCGACGCCCGAUCAAAGUUGAUAGCAGCGUCUAAACAUCCUGAAGUUAACUGCCGUUUAGCUCACGGAUGCGGACCAGGGUCACCGCGGUGUCCGGAUCAGCUGUGAGGACAGCCGGAGGUCCCAUACCGUCACACCUUUACUGCUGCUAGCCAUGGCAUUGAUCAGUGUAUGCAAUCUACAUCCCUAAGGGGACUAAAAAAAGUGGGGGAAAAGAAUGUGUAAAAUAAAUAAACAAUAAAAGUGAAUUAACCCCUUCCCUAA
This is a long non-coding RNA of Hyla sarda, 757 nucleotides long. RefSeq lists it as uncharacterized. NCBI's taxonomy places the organism in Eukaryota, Metazoa, Chordata, Amphibia, Anura, Hylidae. The record is from RefSeq and is a predicted model, not a curated record. The transcript is spliced from 3 exons.